UACGGAGGGUGCGAGCGUUGUCCGGAAUCGCUGGGCGUAAAGGGCGCGUAGGCGGCGCGGAUAGUCGGCGGUGAAAGCCCGGAGCUCAACUCCGGGUCGGCCGUCGAUACUCCCGGGCUUGAGCACUGUAGAGGCAGAUGGAAUUCCGGGUGUAGCGGUGGAAUGCGUAGAGAUCCGGAAGAACACCGGUGGCGAAGGCGGUCUGCUGGGCAGUUGCUGACGCUGAUGCGCGACAGCGUGGGGAGCAAACAGG
Molecule: ribosomal RNA, 253 nt
Filed under: uncultured bacterium
Lineage: Bacteria
Description: partial 16S ribosomal RNA
Rfam family: Bacterial small subunit ribosomal RNA
Source: RNAcentral